This 465-nucleotide ribosomal RNA is filed under the name uncultured bacterium. RNAcentral's name for it is "partial 16S ribosomal RNA". It matches the Rfam family "Bacterial small subunit ribosomal RNA", at positions 28 to 507 of the family's 1533-position model. The record is from RNAcentral.
GACGAACGCUGGCGGCGUGCUUAACACAUGCAAGUCGAACGGAAAGGCCCUGCUUGCAGGGUACUCGAGUGGCGAACGGGUGAGUAACACGUGGGUGAUCUGCCCUGCACUUCGGGAUAAGCCUGGGAAACUGGGUCUAAUACCGGAUAGGAGCCAUUUUUAGUGUGAUGGUUGGAAAGUUUUUUCGGUGUAGGAUGAGCUCGCGGCCUAUCAGCUUGUUGGUGGGGUAAUGGCCUACCAAGGCGGCGACGGGUAGCCGGCCUGAGAGGGUGGACGGCCACAUUGGGACUGAGAUACGGCCCAGACUCCUACGGGAGGCAGCAGUGGGGAAUAUUGCACAAUGGGCGCAAGCCUGAUGCAGCGACGCCGCGUGGGGGAUGACGGCCUUUGGGUUGUAAACUCCUUUCGCUAGGGACGAAGCUUUUUGUGACGGUACCUAGAUAAGAAGCACCGGCUAACUACGUG